UUUUUUGUAUUUUUUGUUUGUCAAAUGACAUUAUUAUUAAAAAACAAACAGUAAACGCGCUAAGAGCUAAAUAAUACAAGAUGUUUCAACGAAAAAUACUUAAAGAAGAUGUUCUACAUAUCCACCUUCCAUUUGUACACAAGCUUCACAUCGUCGCAGAAAGGAAGCUCUUAUUCUUUCGAAUAUCCCUGGAAUUUGGAGUAGCCUGGCAGACAUCUUCUAUUCGGUGCCGUAAGUCGUCAACGUUAUUAAUGGGUCUUGAAUACACUAGCGAUUUUAAAUAUCCCCAAAUGCAAAAGUCCAAUGAAUGAAAAUCAGGGGAUCUGAGUGGCCAUGGCACUGGACCCCCUCGUCCUAUCCAGUUAUUAUUGGGGACAUCUUCCAAUAGUGGAGGUAGAGUGUUAUUUAAGAAGUCAAGAUAAACUGCACCAGUUAAACAAUUUGAAAAAAAACACUGGUCCAAUUAAACGGUCCCUCAAAAUACCCACCCAAACGUUCAAAGAAAAUCGAUGUUGAUGUCUGGACUCGACAACGGCAUGAGGGUUUUCAUCAGCCCAAAUAUGAUUGUUGUGGAAAUUAAUGAUCCUGUUGUUUGUAAAAAUAGCUUCAUCUGUAAAUAAAAUAUUAGCAGCAAAGUCUGGAUUUUCUUUAACUUUUCUUAGUACGAAUCUACAGAACGCUACUCUGGAAUCAUAAUCGGGGGCUAUAAGAGCUUGCACCCGCUGAAUAUGAAAAGGAUACAGCUGCUGUGCACGUAAAAUCCUCCAGACUAAGGAAGCAUUCAUAUUUAGUUCCGUAGCUAUUAUUCUGGUGUUGAUAUUCGGAUUUUCUUCUACUCUUCUUAAAACUUCAAGUUCUGCUUCAAGAGCAGACACUGACCUGGGGGUCUAUUUAUUACGUAUCUUUUCACGGAGUGAAAAUGUGAAAAAUGAGCAAAUUUACUAGAAUAUUUAUAAUUUGAUUGGUCAACAUCUAGUGAAUUUUCUCACUUUUCGCAUUUUCACUCCGUGAUGAGAUACGUAAUAGACCCCCUGGGCCGUCCGGCAUCAUGUUUACUUACGCUAAAUGAACCAUUUUCGACUAAACGUAAAUGCAAUUUGGAAAAUAACUUAUCAGAUGGAAGUGCACGAUUCGGAAAUGCUUCAGCACACAGACGCCGUGCUUCAUAAGCGUUACCAUUGGCACGGCCGUACAUGAAAUGCAUAUCUGCCAUUUCUGCAUUGGUAUAGAGCGGCAUUUUCUUUUAUUUGCAAAUACUUUUAAAUGAAAACAGUAGGAAACUGAUACAGCACUAUAGCGAGAUUAAUUAUACUUACAGGAAAUAAAGGGAAACAAAAAGCAACGACUUAAAUUUUAUUUUAUUUUUUCAUGAAAAACACGAUGGCGCGGCCGUUCAUUCAUGACGUAAAGUGCGUGGAAUCGAAAUCAAUGACACGAUUAGAUACAACUGAUAAAUGACUCCUGCACACACUGGACUGCACAAGACGUUCCUAUACUCCGUCCAGCGAGAGAACGUUAUCCGGCUGCGCAUAGGCGAGCGAAGUGGGGAUAGCGUGGCGUAGUGGUGGCGUGUAUAAUAGCAUUAACGCGCUUGUAUCACGGCGUAGUGGGGGGUCUCUAGAGAGGAGAUCUGCGCGGAACGGUCGCGUUUUCGUCUGCUCCGAUAACGUUCUGUAAUCAUCAA
This is a long non-coding RNA of Ooceraea biroi (clonal raider ant), 1684 nucleotides long. RefSeq lists it as uncharacterized. The record is from RefSeq and is a predicted model, not a curated record. Lineage: Eukaryota; Metazoa; Arthropoda; Insecta; Hymenoptera; Formicidae.